This 1346-nucleotide ribosomal RNA is filed under the name uncultured bacterium. RNAcentral's name for it is "bacterial SSU rRNA". It matches the Rfam family "Bacterial small subunit ribosomal RNA", at positions 28 to 1381 of the family's 1533-position model. The record is from RNAcentral.
GACGAACUUUGGCGGCGUGCUUAACACAUGCAAGUCGAACGGAAAGGCCCUGCUUUUGUGGGGUGCUCGAGUGGCGAACGGGUGAGUAACACGUGAGUAACCUGCCCUUGACUUUGGGAUAACUUCAGGAAACUGGGGCUAAUACCGGAUAGGAGCUCCUGCUGCAUGGUGGGGGUUGGAAAGUUUCGGCGGUUGGGGAUGGACUCGCGGCUUAUCAGCUUGUUGGUGGGGUAGUGGCUUACCAAGGCUUUGACGGGUAGCCGGCCUGAGAGGGUGACCGGCCACAUUGGGACUGAGAUACGGCCCAGACUCCUACGGGAGGCAGCAGUGGGGAAUAUUGCACAAUGGGCGGAAGCCUGAUGCAGCAACGCCGCGUGCGGGAUGACGGCCUUCGGGUUGUAAACCGCUUUCGCCUGUGACGAAGCGUGAGUGACGGUAAUGGGUAAAGAAGCACCGGCUAACUACGUGCCAGCAGCCGCGGUGAUACGUAGGGUGCGAGCGUUGUCCGGAUUUAUUGGGCGUAAAGGGCUCGUAGGUGGUUGAUCGCGUCGGAAGUGUAAUCUUGGGGCUUAACCCUGAGCGUGCUUUCGAUACGGGUUGACUUGAGGAAGGUAGGGGAGAAUGGAAUUCCUGGUGGAGCGGUGGAAUGCGCAGAUAUCAGGAGGAACACCAGUGGCGAAGGCGGUUCUCUGGGCCUUUCCUGACGCUGAGGAGCGAAAGCGUGGGGAGCGAACAGGCUUAGAUACCCUGGUAGUCCACGCUGUAAACGGUGGGUACUAGGUGUGGGGUCCAUUCCACGGGUUCCGUGCCGUAGCUAACGCUUUAAGUACCCCGCCUGGGGAGUACGGCCGCGAGGCUAAAACUCAAAGGAAUUGACGGGGCCCCGCACAAGCGGCGGAGCAUGCGGAUUAAUUCGAUGCAACGCGUAGAACCUUACCUGGGUUUGACAUGGAUCGGGAGUGCUCAGAGAUGGGUGUGCCUCUUUUGGGGUCGGUUCACAGGUGGUGCAUGCCUGUCGUCAGCUCGUGUCGUGAGAUGUUGGGUUAAGUCCCGCAACGAGCGCAACCCUUGUUCACUGUUGCCAGCACGUUAUGGUGGGGACUCAGUGGAGACCGCCGGGGUCAACUCGGAGGAAGGUGGGGAUGACGUCAAGUCCUCAUGCCCCUUAUGUCCAGGGCUUCACGCAUGCUACAAUGGCUGGUACAGAGAGUGGCGAGCCUGUGAGGGUGAGCGAAUCUCGGAAAGCCGGUCUCAGUUCGGAUUGGGGUCUGCAACUCGACCUCAUGAAGUCGGAGUCGCUAGUAAUCGCAAAUCAGCAACGCUGCGGUGAAUGCGUUCCCGGGGCU